Molecule: ribosomal RNA, 387 nt
Filed under: uncultured eukaryote
Lineage: Eukaryota
Description: bacterial SSU rRNA
Rfam family: Eukaryotic small subunit ribosomal RNA
Source: RNAcentral
CAAUAGCGUAUAUUAAAGUUGUUGCGGUUAAAAAGACUCGUAGUUGGAUUUCUGCCGAGGACGACCGGUCCGCCCUGUGGGUGAGCAUCUGGAUCGGCCUGGGCAUCUUCUUGGGGAACGUAGCUGCACUUGACUGUGUGGUGCGGUAUCCAGGACUUUUACCUUGAGGAAAUUAGAGUGUUUCAAGCAGGCGCACGCCUUGAAUACAUUAGCAUGGAAUAAUAAGAUAGGACCUCGGUUCUAUUUUGUUGGUUUCUAGAGCUGAGGUAAUGAUUAAUAGGGAUAGUUGGGGGCGAUUCGUACUGCAGCGUUAGAGGUGGAAAUUACUUGGAUCGCUGCAAGACGAACAACAAGCGUAAAGACAUUUGGUCGAAGAAACGUUUUCCA